CACGUAGGGGGCGAGCGUUGUCCGGAUUUAUUGGGCGUAAAGCGUGCGCAGGCGGUUAUUUAAGUCAGGUGUGAAAGCCCUGGGCUUAACCUAGGAAUUGCGCUUGAGACUGGAUAGCUUGGAGUGCGGCAGAGGGAGGUGGGAUUCCACGUGUAGCAGUGAAAUGCGUAGAGAUGUGGAGGAACACCGAUGGCGAAGGCAGCCUCCUGGGCCAGCACUGACGCUCAUGCACGAAAGCGUGGGGAGCAAACAGG
This 254-nucleotide ribosomal RNA is filed under the name uncultured bacterium. Its description in RNAcentral is "partial 16S ribosomal RNA". It matches the Rfam family "Bacterial small subunit ribosomal RNA", at positions 524 to 776 of the family's 1533-position model. The record is from RNAcentral.